UGAAUACGAGAUGCUAAGGCGUCGAAGUAGUGUAUGUCAGACUUCCAAGAAAAGCUUGCACUGUCAUAAGUAAAAAAUGCCUGUACCAUAACCGACACAGGUGGGUAGGUAGAGUAUACUAAGGGGCGCGAGAUAACUCUCUCUAAGGAACUCGGCAAAAUAACUCCGUAACUUCGGGAGAAGGAGUGCCUUAUUUUAAUAAGGUUGCUAUAACAAGAUCCAAGCAACUGUUUACCAAAAACACAGGUCUCCGCUAAGUCGUAAGACGAUGUAUGGGGGCUGACGCCUGCCCAGUGCCAGAAGGUUAAAGAAGUUGGUUAGCAUUUGCGAAGCUGAUAACUGAAGCCCUGGUGAACGGCGGCCGUAACUAUAACGGUCCUAAGGUAGCGAAAUUCCUUGUCGGGUAAGUUCCGACCCGCACGAAAGGCGUAAUGAUUUGGAUACUGUCUCGGAGAGGGGCUCGGUGAAAUAGACUUGUCUGUGAAGAUGCGGACUACCUGCACCUGGACAGAAAGACCCUAUGAAGCUUUACUGUAACUUGAAAUUGAAAUUGGACUUUAUUCGCGCAGCAUAGGUGGGAGGCUUUGAUAAUAUUCUUGCGGGAAUAUUUGAGCUAUCAGUGAGAUACCACUCUUAUAAUGUUAGAUUUCUUAACUUUGUAUCAUUAUCUGGUCAAAGGACAGUUUCAGGCGGGCAGUUUGACUGGGGCGGUCGCCUCCCAAACGGUAACGGAGGCGUACAAAGGUUUCCUCUGAACGGGUAGAAAUCGUAUCUAGAGUAUAAAGGCAAAAGGAAGCUUGACUGUGAGACCUACAAGUCGAGCAGGGACGAAAGUCGGUCUUAGUGAUCUGACGGUACUGAGUGGAAAGGCCGUCACUCAACGGAUAAAAGUUACUCUAAGGAUAACAGGCUGAUCUCCCCCAAGAGUUCACAUCGACGGGGAGGUUUGGCACCUCGAUGUCGGCUCAUCGCAUCCUGGGGCGGUAGUACGUCCCAAGGGUUGGGCUGUUCGCCCAUGAAAGCGGUACGCGAGCUGGGUUCAGAACGUCGUGAGACAGUUCGGUCCAUAUCCGGUGUAGGCGCUAGAAUAUUGAGAGGAGCCUUCUCUAGUACGAGAGGACCGAGAAGGACAUACCUCUGGUGUACCAGUUAUCGUGCCAACGGUAAACGCUGGGUAGCUAUGUAUGGAGAGGAUAACCGCUGAAAGCAUCUAAGUGGGAAGCCCACCUCAAGAUGAG
Molecule: ribosomal RNA, 1238 nt
Filed under: metagenome
Description: bacterial LSU rRNA
Rfam family: Bacterial large subunit ribosomal RNA
Source: RNAcentral